CGGGAAACCGGAGCUAAUACCGGAUAAUAUAUUGAACCGCAUGGUUCAAUAGUGAAAGACGGUUUUGCUGUCACUUAUAGAUGGAUCCGCGCCGCAUUAGCUAGUUGGUAAGGUAACGGCUUACCAAGGCAACGAUGCGUAGCCGACCUGAGAGGGUGAUCGGCCACACUGGAACUGAGACACGGUCCAGACUCCUACGGGAGGCAGCAGCA
Molecule: ribosomal RNA, 212 nt
Filed under: uncultured Staphylococcus sp.
Lineage: Bacteria; Bacillati; Bacillota; Bacilli; Caryophanales; Staphylococcaceae
Description: partial 16S ribosomal RNA
Rfam family: Bacterial small subunit ribosomal RNA
Source: RNAcentral